UCGCUAGUAAUCGCGGAUCAGCAUGCCGCGGUGAAUACGUUCCCGGGCCUUGUACACACCGCCCGUCACACCACGAGAGUUUGCAACACCCGAAGUCGGUGAGGGAACCUCACGGACCCAGCCGCCGAAGGUGGGGCAGAUGAUUGGGGUGAAGUCGUAACAAGGUAUCCCUACCGGAAGGUGGGGAUGGAUCACCUCCUUUCUACGGAG
This 210-nucleotide ribosomal RNA is filed under the name Thermoflavimicrobium daqui. RNAcentral's name for it is "Thermoflavimicrobium sp. FBKL4.011 partial 16S ribosomal RNA". It matches the Rfam family "Bacterial small subunit ribosomal RNA", at positions 1332 to 1533 of the family's 1533-position model. The record is from RNAcentral. Lineage: Bacteria; Bacillati; Bacillota; Bacilli; Caryophanales; Thermoactinomycetaceae.